AAUUCAGAAGAUGGAGCUCAAAUAUAUAGCAUCAAUUAAUUAAUCCUUCUAAUUAACAUUGCAAGUUUGAAGUUUGUAACUUCACCUCCCAGAGUUCCUACCUAUAUAUUUGAGCUCCAUCUUCUGAAUUGAAAUUCUAAUUUUCUGUUUCACUGCUAUGCAUUAAUUCCCUGAAGGGAAAUAGCAUUAUCACAUGAUCGUGCAUGGACAAAGUUGAGUCCUGAUUGGAAGAUGGAGAAUACAUAUAUGCAUGGAAUUAGUUCAUCCAUAAAAAUCUGCGAACAUAAAUUAGUGAAAAAAAA
RNAcentral lists this unclassified non-coding RNA (302 nucleotides) under Hevea brasiliensis (rubber tree). Lineage: Eukaryota; Viridiplantae; Streptophyta; Magnoliopsida; Malpighiales; Euphorbiaceae. The record is from RNAcentral.